This is a non-coding RNA of Algoriphagus marincola HL-49, 430 nucleotides long. Lineage: Bacteria; Pseudomonadati; Bacteroidota; Cytophagia; Cytophagales; Cyclobacteriaceae. The record is from Rfam.
UGUGCAAGUCGGUCUGUCGCCGAUCUGUCCCGAUUGAUAUCGGAAUCAGAAAGGAGGAAAGUCCGGGCAACAUAGAGCGCCAUACUUCCUAACGGGAAGGGGGCUGAUUGGUGACGGUCAGUCUACAGAAAGUGCCGCAGAAAAUAUACCGCCCCAACCAUUAUUGGAAUGGGGUAAGGGUGAAAAGGUGGGGUAAGAGCCCACCGUCCCGAUGGUGACAUCGGGUGCAAGGCAAACCUUAUGGGUUGAAAGAUCAAAUAGGCCCCGGGCAAAGAGCUGCUCGUUCGAUCUCUGCUUAGGCAGGGUUCCGGGGUGGGUAGAUCGAUGGACCCUGAUCGUGAGGUCAGGGCUAGAUAAAUGGCAGACACUUUUGAAAAGGAUGAAUUCCAAAUCAAGAGUACAGAACCCGGCUUACAGACUUGCACAUUUU